Long non-coding RNA from Ruditapes philippinarum (Manila clam), 574 nucleotides. RefSeq lists it as uncharacterized. The record is from RefSeq and is a predicted model, not a curated record. NCBI's taxonomy places the organism in Eukaryota, Metazoa, Mollusca, Bivalvia, Venerida, Veneridae. The transcript is spliced from 3 exons.
AGACAUUGCUGGAAAAUAACAUUAGAUGAAUGAUUGUGUCGUAAUAUAGUUUACAAUGGAGGAGAAGUUGUGUUAGUUCAGUUGAGGCAAGAUGGCAGCAUUUUAUCAUAACUGUGGUAUGGCUGCGAUUGAGUAUCUUGGUUAGUGUGUUAGUGGCACAUUGCCGUGGGGAGGUUUCACCUGGAUUAUAAUUAACAUAGGGGCGGAUAAAGUUUCAUUGAAUGGUGGAUGAUAACACAGUGGAAUAGAUGGUGACAGUAUGAAGAAUUUCCAUAAUUGCAUGGAGGGCAUGGCUUAGAAUAUGAUUAGAAAAUAAAAGAGGUUGAAGGAAGAUAAAUGUAUAACCUUCCUGUGUUAUAAUAGAAUACUCGUAAACUCUAACUGUCUGGUCACUUGAUAAUGUAUAGAGAUAAAACAACAAACUUGAAUUUUGUCGAUGUCAGAGGGAUGUACAAUCUUCCUGUGUCAUAUACAUAUAUGAAUGGUUUUAUAUUUGUACUCUACCACAACAAAAGGAAAGAAUUCAUUUGACCAGAAGAUGUAAUGCUCCCUGCAAUGGAAGAUAAAAAGCACC